Long non-coding RNA from Pseudoliparis swirei, 494 nucleotides. RefSeq lists it as uncharacterized. NCBI's taxonomy places the organism in Eukaryota, Metazoa, Chordata, Actinopteri, Perciformes, Liparidae. The transcript has 3 exons. The record is from RefSeq and is a predicted model, not a curated record.
GUGAAAUACGACACAAAAACAAUACAGCUCACGUGCACAUCAAGAACACCCCUCACCUAAUCCUUCAAUGCAGCAAGCUCAGCAGUGGAUCAGCACGUCGGCCAGCGGCUGCAGUUUCUCUCUCUGCGACAGGGAGGAAACUGAGUUGGACGUGUCGUUCACACGUCGCCGUCAGUCCCCAUCAGGAGCCAUGUUGCACAGGUGUCCCUCCACGGUGACACACACGUGGCCCGUCCCGCCGCCGCCGCCACAGAAGACCCCGGAUGUGUCAUCGGCUCCCUUCGCUGCUUCUCGGAGCCGCGUUCAGGGACAUCCAGUGCGAAAACGAGGGAAAGUCGGCCGACAUGUUAUCAUGAACGCGGCCGCCGGUGAACAAUGGCGCGUCAGAGCACGUGACCGCGUCCGUGAGAUGGAUACUGCAGAUGAGCAGAAAGGAGUGGCAGGUUGUGAGUGUAUGUGUGUGUAUAUAUAUAUAUAUGAGGGGUGGGGGAUAU